Molecule: ribosomal RNA, 506 nt
Filed under: uncultured bacterium
Lineage: Bacteria
Description: partial 16S ribosomal RNA
Rfam family: Bacterial small subunit ribosomal RNA
Source: RNAcentral
AGUGAACGCUGGCGGUAGGCCUAACACACGCAAGUCGAACGGCAGCACAGGAGAGCUUGCUCUCUGGGUGGCGAGUGGCGGACGGGUGAGGAAUACAUCGGAAUCUACUCUGUCGUGGGGGAUAACGUAGGGAAACUUACGCUAAUACCGCAUACGACCUACGGGUGAAAGCAGGGGACCUUCGGGCCUUGCGCGAUUGAAUGAGCCGAUGUCGGAUUAGCUAGUUGGCGGGGUAAAGGCCCACCAAGGCGACGAUCCGUAGCUGGUCUGAGAGGAUGAUCAGCCAGACUAGGACUCAAACACGGUCAAGACUCAACCGGGAGGCAGCAGUGGGGACUGUUGGACAAUGGGCGCAAGCCUGUUCCAGCCAUACCGCGUGGGUGAAGAAGGCCUUCGGGUUGUAAAGCCCUUUUGUUGGGAAAGAAAUCCAGCUGGCUAAUACCCGCUUGGGAUGACGGUACCCAAAGAAUAAGCACCGGCUAACUUCGUGCCAGCCGCCGCCGUAA